AGUGUAGGCGGCUUCGUAAGUCGGAUGUGAAAGCCCCGGGCUUAACCAGGGAAUGGCAUUCGAUACUGCGCGGCUAGAGUCUGAUAGAGGGAAGUGGAAUUCCAGGUGUAGCGGUGAAAUGCGUAGAGAUCUGGAGGAACACCAGUGGCGAAGGCGGCUUCCUGGAUCAAGACUGACGCUGAGGCUCGAAAGCGUGGGGAGCAAACA
Molecule: ribosomal RNA, 207 nt
Filed under: uncultured bacterium
Lineage: Bacteria
Description: partial 16S ribosomal RNA
Rfam family: Bacterial small subunit ribosomal RNA
Source: RNAcentral